Molecule: ribosomal RNA, 500 nt
Filed under: uncultured bacterium
Lineage: Bacteria
Description: partial 16S ribosomal RNA
Rfam family: Bacterial small subunit ribosomal RNA
Source: RNAcentral
AUUGAACGCUGGCGGCAUGCCUUACACAUGCAAGUCGAACGGCAGCACGGGAGCAAUCCUGGUGGCGAGUGGCGAACGGGUGAGUAAUAUAUCGGAACGUGCCCAGUCGUGGGGGAUAACGUAGCGAAAGCUACGCUAAUACCGCAUACGAUCUAUGGAUGAAAGCGGGGGAUCGCAAGACCUAGCGCGAUUGGAGCGGCCGAUAUCAGAUUCGGUAGUUGGUGAGGUAAAGGGUAACCAAGCCGACGUUCUGUAGCUGGUCUGAGAGGACGACCACCCACACUGGACAUGAGACACGGUCCAGACUCCUACGGGAGGCAGCAGUGGGGAAUUUUGGACAAUGGGCGCAAGCCUGAUCCAGCAAUGCCGCGUGCAGGAUGAAGGCCUUCGGGUUGUAAACUGCUUUUGUACGGAACGAAACGGUGAGCUCUAAUACAGUUUGCUAAUGACGGUACCGUAAGAAUAAGCACCGGCUAACUACGUGCCAGCAGCCGCGGUAA